Molecule: unclassified non-coding RNA, 366 nt
Filed under: uncultured bacterium
Lineage: Bacteria
Description: contains 16S-23S intergenic spacer region
Source: RNAcentral
UCCCCGUUGGCCGGGGCAGUCCCGUGUGAAAAAUUCAACACACAGCAAGGGUUGCGCUCGUUGCCGGACUUAACCGAACAUCUCACGACACGAGCUGACGACGGCCAUGCAGCACCUGUCACCAGUCCAACUAAAUGACCAUCUGCUUUCACAGAUGUACGACUGGGAUGUCAAGCCUCGGUAAGGUUCUUCGCGUAGCUUCGAAUUAAACCACAUGAUCCACUGCUUGUGCGAGACCCCGUCUAUUCCUUUGAGUUUUAGCCUUGCGGCCGUACUCCCCAGGCGGGAUGCUUAACGCGUUAGCUUCUCAGCCGAAAGGGUCGAUACUUCCAACUAAUAGCAUCCAUCGUUUACGGCGUGGACUAC